AUGACUAAACUGUUUAGUCUGAUGAACUGUGCUGGAAAUCUGAUGCUCUCCCUAGAACCUUCUAUGGACAAGUAGAAAACCAAUAUUGAAAACACUGAAACCAACUGAACAAUUAUUUGUAGAGCCUUAGGGUCUUGUUACACAUUGACUUUGAACUGCUCAAAUGUUGAUCAGUGAUAGUGCUAGCUCAAGUUUGGAGCAGUCACAUAUUCCAACCAGCAGGGGCUUUGAGGACUGAAAGGUA
Gavialis gangeticus (Gharial) is the source of this 244-nucleotide long non-coding RNA. RefSeq lists it as uncharacterized. The transcript is spliced from 3 exons. The record is from RefSeq and is a predicted model, not a curated record. NCBI's taxonomy places the organism in Eukaryota, Metazoa, Chordata, Crocodylia, Gavialidae.